Molecule: ribosomal RNA, 253 nt
Filed under: uncultured bacterium
Lineage: Bacteria
Description: partial 16S ribosomal RNA
Rfam family: Bacterial small subunit ribosomal RNA
Source: RNAcentral
UACGUAGGGCGCAAGCGUUAUCCGGAAUUAUUGGGCGUAAAGAGCUCGUAGGCGGUUUGUCGCGUCUGCCGUGAAAGUCCGGGGCUCAACUCCGGAUCUGCGGUGGGUACGGGCAGACUGGAGUGAUGUAGGGGAGACUGGAAUUCCUGGUGUAGCGGUGAAAUGCGCAGAUAUCAGGAGGAACACCAAUGGCGAAGGCAGAUCUCUGGGCCGUAACUGACGCUGAGGAGCGAAAGCAUGGGGAGCGAACAGG